This 233-nucleotide unclassified non-coding RNA is filed under the name plant metagenome. RNAcentral describes it as "partial contains small subunit ribosomal RNA, internal transcribed spacer 1, and 5.8S ribosomal RNA". The record is from RNAcentral.
UUUCCGUAGGUGAACCUGCGGAAGGAUCAUUACUGAGUGAGGGCCCUCUGGUCCACCCUCCCACCCGUGUUUAUUGUACCUUGUUGCUUAGGUGAGCCCGCCUCACGGCCGCCGGGGGGCAUCUGCCCCCGGGCCCGCGCUCGCCGAAGACACUCUUGAACUCUGUCUGAAGUUUGCAGUCGGAUCGAAAACUAAAUAAGUUAAAACUUUCAACAACGGAUCUCUUGGUUCCG